This 22-nucleotide microRNA is filed under the name Nematostella vectensis (starlet sea anemone). RNAcentral describes it as "nve-miR-2049-3p". Lineage: Eukaryota; Metazoa; Cnidaria; Anthozoa; Actiniaria; Edwardsiidae. The record is from miRBase by way of RNAcentral.
GAUUCAUGUGCAUGCAUUUACA